RNAcentral lists this ribosomal RNA (450 nucleotides) under uncultured bacterium. Its description in RNAcentral is "bacterial SSU rRNA". It matches the Rfam family "Bacterial small subunit ribosomal RNA", at positions 354 to 796 of the family's 1533-position model. The record is from RNAcentral.
GUGGGGAAUUUUUCGCAAUGGGGGAAACCCUGACGAAGCAACGCCGCGUGGAGGAUGAAGGCCUUCGGGUCGUAAACUCCUGUCGACCGGGAAGAAUGCACUCGACCUAAUACGUCGCGGUGUUGACUGUACCGGUGGAGGAAGCCACGGCUAACUCUGUGCCAGCAGCCGCGGUAAUACAGAGGUGGCAAGCGUUGUUCGGAAUUACUGGGCGUAAAGGGCGCGUAGGCGGCCCGCCAAGUCCCGUGUGAAAGCCCUCGGCUCAACCGAGGAACGGCGCGGGAAACUAGCAGGCUUGAGUUCGGGAGAGGGAAGCGGAAUUCCGGGUGUAGCGGUGAAAUGCGCAGAUAUCCGGAGGAACACCGGUGGCGAAGGCGGCUUCCUGGACCGACACUGACGCUGAGGCGCGAAAGCUAGGGGAGCAAACGGGAUUAGAAACCCCGGUAGUCC